RNAcentral lists this ribosomal RNA (514 nucleotides) under uncultured bacterium. RNAcentral's name for it is "partial 16S ribosomal RNA". It matches the Rfam family "Bacterial small subunit ribosomal RNA", at positions 28 to 523 of the family's 1533-position model. The record is from RNAcentral.
GACGAACGCUGGCGGCGUGCCUAAUACAUGCAAGUCGAGCGAGCAGAUGAGAAGCUUGCUUCUCUGAUGUUAGCGGCGGACGGGUGAGUAACACGUGGGUAACCUACCUAUAAGACUGGGAUAACUCCGGGAAACCGGGGCUAAUACCGGAUAAUAUUUUGAACCGCAUGGUUCAAUAGUGAAAGACGGUUUCGGCUGUCACUUAUAGAUGGACCCGCGCCGUAUUAGCUAGUUGGUAAGGUAACGGCUUACCAAGGCGACGAUACGUAGCCGAGCUGAGAGGGUGAUCGGCCACACUGGAACUGAGACACGGUCCAGACUCCUACGGGAGGCAGCAGUAGGGAAUCUUCCGCAAUGGGCGAAAGCCUGACGGAGCAACGCCGCGUGAGUGAUGAAGGUCUUCGGAUCGUAAAACUCUGUUGUUAGGGAAGAACAAAUUUGUUAGUAACUGAACAAGUCUUGACGGUACCUAACCAGAAAGCCACGGCUAACUACGUGCCAGCAGCCGCAGUAA